UUUAAAGAUGGUGUUUUAAGCAACCUUGAUAGAAUGCUUAUGAACUGGCUAAAGAUAAAAGAUUCGGGAAAUUUUAAGUUCACUUGUAUUUCUGUAACCAAGAUAAAACAAGGUUUGAGGAAUCAGAAGAUGGAGAAAUAAAGACUGACAGAACAGAAACCUCUUGAGACAAAGGCUUUGAGAAAAGCAGUGUGAAAUCUGCUAAGUCACAUAUAGUGGAAAAAAGAGACUACUGAAACGUUCACCUUUUUCCCAGCGGAAAGUUUUGUCACAUGCAGUGCUUCACCCUUGAAGUUACAUAAUCCUGCUUGCAGGAUUGUGAGGUCUCGCUGAACAACUCACGUCACUACUUCUUGAAGUACAUCAACAACAGGACCUAAAAAUAAUAAUUUGCUAGUUCUGUGGGAAAGAAGUGAGAUAAAGUACCAGUGGAGCAGAGGAGCUGAAGAUCUUUACUGCUAUGAAAACAUGGAGAUUUUCUGCCCAUGCUUUGAAGUCCAGCACACCAGGAUUGCUGAGAAGGCAAGUCUAUAAAGAAGGUCCACUUCCCACCUUGGGGAUAAACCAUAAAAGAAUGAAAGGGCACGGGAGGAGCCUAUUGAAGAAAUGAACCUUUUGAGUUGAAUUAGCCUGGACAAAAGUAUUUGGCCUGAAAUUUGAAGUAAAAGGAUUUUUAGC
This is a long non-coding RNA of Strigops habroptila (Kakapo), 678 nucleotides long. RefSeq lists it as uncharacterized. Lineage: Eukaryota; Metazoa; Chordata; Aves; Psittaciformes; Psittacidae. The transcript is spliced from 5 exons. The record is from RefSeq and is a predicted model, not a curated record.